RNAcentral lists this long non-coding RNA (274 nucleotides) under Elaeis guineensis (African oil palm). RNAcentral's name for it is "long non-coding RNA (EGUI_LNC054345)". Lineage: Eukaryota; Viridiplantae; Streptophyta; Magnoliopsida; Arecales; Arecaceae. The record is from RNAcentral.
AACACAGGGUCAAGUGACCCAAACCCAAAACUUCCUUGACCAACUCUAUGGAAGAUUAGGUUAACCCAAGCCCAUGUACAUCCAUGACUCGACCUAAUCUCACCUAUCCUGGGCCCAGACCUGGCCCAUAAAGAGUUGGUCCCUUGAGGCCCACAUAACCUAGACCUCAAGAACCCGAAAGGCCCACAGCCUUCCAACCUAGGACCCAACUAGCCCUAGAGCCUCCAUGAAGCCCUCAUGAAUGAUGGACCUUGGCCUUAGCCUUGAUCCCCUA